AUUUUCAGUUGCAAUUGCAUGGGAUUAUUCAGUGAGAAGCAGAAUUUCUGUAAGUGUCCCUUGGCACAAGUUAAUAUGGUUGCGCUACUUUUUUUCGUGGAUAGACAACUGGAAUGGAACAAUGAGCCUACGAAAAAUGCUAAUUUUAUAAGAGUUUGGUAAGCGAGGAUGACUUAUAUUUUCACCUGGAGUUUCUUUAAGAUUAAUCGGAAGUAAGUUUUAGCACUGAAUAAUAUUCAUAUUCAGUUAAAUAUCGGAAGGAGUUCAUGCGGGCUGCAAUUGCAAAGGCAUUGAAAGACGAAGUUAUACACUUUCAUGUAGGUUUUGUGUCGAACAGUUUGUGUGCAACACCAAUGUGAAACAAUCCAGCAAGACACACACUUCACAUUAGAAGACGAAACCAACACAAGACAGAAAAAUUCAACAAAAUUAUUAAAGUGUACCGUUAUAAAUCUGAACGGAAGAGGGUUGAGCGACGUGGAGCAUAUAAAAUAGGCAACAGUUGGCCCUUAUCACCUUCUCUCAGGCUGCUAAAUUCCACAGGACAGCCUCCUUUCAAAUAUAAUAUGUUUCUCCUUCUGAUUGGCUCUAUUAGAUGACGGUAUUGACCUUUCCAAGAUUCAAUUUAUAAGACAACCAGAGCCAACAUUUUUCAGACAGUGAAGUUGGAUUGAUGGAACUCGCCACUCCCUUUUUCUUUUUUUUAAGCGCUCCACUGCUUGUGCUGGAUUGUCUGAAUCCAUUUCUUUCAUAUUUCUUGAGAUUUAUCGGUUCUGUCUUUCAUUUUUCAAACUUCUU
RNAcentral lists this unclassified non-coding RNA (798 nucleotides) under Hevea brasiliensis (rubber tree). The record is from RNAcentral. Lineage: Eukaryota; Viridiplantae; Streptophyta; Magnoliopsida; Malpighiales; Euphorbiaceae.